Molecule: long non-coding RNA, 2032 nt
Filed under: Homo sapiens (human)
Lineage: Eukaryota; Metazoa; Chordata; Mammalia; Primates; Hominidae
Description: non-protein coding lnc-SERPINI1-23:10
Source: RNAcentral
AAAAGAGGCUGCAGAUUCUUAGUGGACAGCUCUCAUAUCCCCUCCAGGGAAAAUGAUGAAAAAUGUCUUCAGAAAAAUAGCUUUAUGAAGGCAAGAGGACUUUUUGCACCUGCAAGACAUGUCUGAAAGCUCCUCAGGUCAAAACACAAGUAGUCAAGAGAUUUGUCCAUCUAAUUCAUCAUACUACUCUGAUCCAAGUGAGACCCACACUGGGUCAGCUCCAUCAAGGAGAAGAACAUUCCACCCACGUUUGGAUUCUGGAAUAUCAUCCUUGCUUCCAUCAGAUUCUUGUAAGUACCUCACUUGGCACAAGGUAGACAUGACGUUCAAGGAAGUCAACUGCGUUGCCCAAGAGUAAGAGAAGGAAUCUCUGAAGAAGAGCAACUUUUCAGACAGGUAGAGUGUGCCUUGCUCCCAAGGAAAAGAGUUCUUGAAAAAAACAAAUGGGAAACAUGGCUACAAGAAAACUGGGAAGACUGCAAGAUCCACCAAUAAGAAGACAGCACAAUUCAAAAGAGAAAGGACUUAAUGACAGAGCUAAUAAUGUAAAUCCCAGUAGGUUAGAAGGUGGCCCCAUUUCUGGGACACCUACAGGCAAACUUCUCUAUCAUUCUCUAGGAGUCAAACAUGAUAUUAGUUCAUUACUGCUUAACUUAAAAAAAAAAUCAGUGGCUAGAAAUUCUUGCCAGCUAAGUAUGAAUUUUGAAGCCAGAAGACAUAGAUUUUAAUAUUUGCUUUGUCACCUACAGGCCUUAUGAUUUUGAAUAAGUUACUUAAAAUGAGGGAUAAAAACCAAUCUGACAGAGUUGUUGUGAGGAUUUAAAGAGAUGCAUAGGAAGCAAUUCAUGUUAAGAAAAUCAUGCAGCCAAUGGGGGCUUUCAAGGAGGUCAGUUCCAUCAUUAGCUGACUUAGCAUAUCUGCUAAAAGGUUUCAGUAUCUUUCAUGCAGGCAAAUUCAAAUGCCAUAGAUUUCUCCCAGCCAGAGCCCUCAGAAUUCCCAGAUCUAGAAAAGCUGUCAUUCUAAAGAAAAUGCUGCUUUUUAAUGCCGCUAUGUACAUGACCACUGUUAACUGGAUUGAACUGAAGGAUCUGUUUCUGAACAUAGAAGUGACUCCCUGAAUUUGAAAUAGGAGCUUUAGAAGUGCUCGCUUUCAGGAAAAAAUAACAGCAUAAUAUUAUUUCCCACUCCCUCUUUUAUAUUUAUCAGCCAGAAUUCUUCUUUAACUAUCACUGAAUAUUGUGGGCUUGCUUUACUUUCUCUCUCUUUCUAAACUUUUAACUUUGUAAUGAGCAUAUAUAUCAUGAUCUCAUUCUUUCUCUCAUGGUUAGUUGGCUAAAUCCACUCAUUGAUUUUUUUUCCCUUAUAAGACUGUAAAAACUGGAAUGAAAUUCUCUUAUAAAAACAGAUUGUAGACAGUCCCAUUUCUCUGAUCAAUAUUUACCACCUGCUGAAAGAUCUAUUAGAUCCCUGAAAGGGCAAGCUAUGGCAAGGUCAUCAGGUCAAUUAAUAUGAAUAAUAUUUUAUUUUAGCUCCACUGCAAAGAUAAGCAACACAGAAUGAAGUGAUAGCCAUUCAUCUUCCUUAUAACAAUAGGCAAAGUCCAUUCACUUAUAAAGAGAAUAAGUGAAAUAAAAUGCUUUUGUUCAAUAUAGUUUUUUUUUUUUUAACUUUUGCUUUAGAGUAUUCUCCUGUUUGCCAAACUUAAAAAUGCUGGAUGGAAUCUUGAAGCUACCAGAAGAUUGCUUAUCACCAGAAACCAAUAUUUUUUCAAAAAUAUGCCUUGUAUCCUAAUGCAGUCUGUAUAGAAAGAAAGCAAUCAUCAUUGUUGCUAAAAGCUAAUAAACACAGGACAUGCAUGAUUAAAUAUUGCAGUUUAUUUUAUAUCUUUUUGCUUUUCUAAAUCAAGGUAGGAAAAUAUUUUCUGUAAAGGACCAGAUGGUAAACAUUUCAGGCUUUCUGGGCUAUAUGGUCUCUGUCACAACUACUCAACCCUGCCAUUGUAGUGCAAAAGCAGCCAUUGAUAAUAUGUAAA